AUGGGAUUGGGUGUCGAGUCGGUUGGCCAAUGUUCAUGCAUGAUGAGCGUCCAUGUCGUUCCGUCCCGGCGUCGCAUUCGCCUCGCCGUAAAGCUCACGGCUCCGUCCCUACCAACAGCGACACCGACGCCUGACGCCGACGACCCACCACCCUCCGCCUCGCCUCGCCCCACUCCGCCCCGUGCCCGUACCCAUGCGCGCGCGCGAGCCACACCUAAAAGCCCAUCGACCCCAUCCAACCCAUGGUCGCCGCGGCGGAUGCAUACGCUGGCCAUGGCCAUGCGCCGCCUCCUCAGCGCCCUCGACGUCCGCGCCUCUCACUUGCCGAGGCCUCCGCCGCCGCCGCCUUCACCGGCCCAGCAGGGGACGUCCUUCCCCAUGCUGCUCCCGGUCUUCCUCCUCUUCGUCCUCCUCCUCUGCUUCCUCUCCAUCUUCCUCCUCCGCGACCUCCUCCGCUUCUUCUCCCUCUGGCUCCGCCGCCGCCGCCGCCCCCAGUCCAGCGACGCGGACGCCGCCACGGGCGAAGAAGGCGAGCCCGCGCCCGCGCCGCGCAAGCCGGCGGGCCUGGAUCCCGCCGUCAUCGCCUCGUUCCCCACGGUGCGGUUCGAGGCCGACGCCGCCGGCUCCGCGGCGCCGGCGGAGUGCGCGGUCUGCCUGUCCGAGUUCGCGCCCGGCGACGCCGUCCGGUCGCUCACCGUCUGCCGCCACGCCUUCCACGCCGCGUGCAUCGACUCGUGGCUCGGCGCGCACACCACGUGCCCGGUCUGCCGCACCGACCUGGACGCCCCGCCCAACGAGGAGAUCGCCGUCGCGGAAGAACGCGGAGACCGUGGCCGGGCUGCAGCGGCGGUCCACGAGUUCACUGGACACCGGAUAACGUCGUCACCUCCGGCAAGUGGCCAGCGGUAA
This 909-nucleotide ribosomal RNA is filed under the name Triticum aestivum (bread wheat). Its description in RNAcentral is "partial small subunit ribosomal RNA". Lineage: Eukaryota; Viridiplantae; Streptophyta; Magnoliopsida; Poales; Poaceae. The record is from RNAcentral.